UGACACAGCAUUAACUUAAACAAAAGGAUGAAUUGAUCGUAACAUUUUCUCACUUAAUUUUAUGGUUGUGACAUAAAAACAGAACUUUCUGACCGUGAGAGAAAAGCCAUUACAAUUUUUAGGUUCGAUUUCCAAAAGAGAAUUGUGUAGAUUGAAAACCGGAAAUACGCAAGAACACAUUUUUCCGGUCAUUGGCCAUUACAUCACUGCAAACCACAGAAAAGGCAAAGUUCUUGUUUACAGCAGUCAGAUAUCCUUACACAGCCUAGCGUUUAGGUUAGUACACUUCGAAGCUCUUCGGGAUAAAGAUAGAGACAGCGAGACUCUACCAGGGGCAGCUUUUAAUGCGACUAAAUUUCUGAGGUAACAACACCGAAAAGAAUUAAAUAGCACUUAGACAAAACCAUGGGAUUCUCAGGUCUUCUUCGUAGAAACAGCAGCCGGAGGCGAAGCUUCAAACGAAUCGAGCCACGUGACAGAUCCGCUCAAUCAACUAGUUCUGGCGCUCAGCACCGGUCAGUGGAUACCGAAGCGAACAGCAGCGCGUCCCGGGAGAUUGGGUCCAUGCUACGGAAGAUUGGAGACGAACUUAACAACAGCAGAUUAAGCCUCAAUUCCAUCAUUUGAAAAGGUCCAUUUUUUUAGGCAUAAGACGAAACAACGUGCGAGGCGUGGUCGAAGACGAGUCGAUCCAGGCAAAAAUGGUGGUUAAAAUUUUCAGGAAUUAGCAGCGUUGAGGCGUGUAUGUCAGGGACGCUAUGGACAAACGCCGAAAGCCGCUGCUAAGUUCAAUUUGUGCGGUUAAAAACGGAGUUGCUUUGUACAAUAGGCUAAACUCAGAUGAUUCCAUUCAGUGAAUUCAAGGCGAAUCGUGUAAAUACCGUUUUGUGAGAAACAAACAACCAAUCGACGACUCAAGGAUAUAAUGUUCACGUUUGUUACGAAUCUCUAAUUCACCAUUCUCCGUUGUAGUUUAUACGCACGGUGUAUUCUAUCGGUAAUCAAAACUUUAAGUUGAAUUGCAAACCGUGUAAAUAGUCUUGCUACUACUAAAUUCUACUUGUGCAAUUAAUAAAAUAUAUGCUAAUGAGAA
Stylophora pistillata is the source of this 1093-nucleotide long non-coding RNA. RefSeq lists it as uncharacterized. The record is from RefSeq and is a predicted model, not a curated record. Lineage: Eukaryota; Metazoa; Cnidaria; Anthozoa; Scleractinia; Pocilloporidae.